UGGGGCCAUAUUUCAUGAUAAUGUUAUUCUGUGUUUCCUUGCUGAAGACUGAUAGCGAUUUGUUUGCACAGAAACGUAUAUAUACCGGCUUGGGUUGCAAAUCUCAUCGUAGGGAACAGAUCCAGUCUUCUGCUACGACAACUUUCAUUGGAACAAUGAAGUCUUGCGUUCUUCUUGUGCUUUUGGUGCUCUUUGCCACUCUUGUCAUAGAAGAAACAGCCGGGCAAUUAGGAGCUGCGAGAGCUCCAACGCGUGCUUCGUGCACCUGCUGUAAUCGUAACUCGUGUAGCACCGACAAUGGAUAUUGCUACUGCAGCGGCUGCACCUGUGUUGCAGUCGAUUACCGAAGAUAAAAGAAUAGCCUCCUGUUGAGAGAAACAUGACCAGUUAUGGAAGAAACCAUGAAACUAGUCACUCAGCUAAAUGUAACGCAUUUACUACGUAUUUGGAUAUUUUUUGUGAAUUUUGAGUUUAACAAUAAGUGGUUCUAAUAAAGAUUGUAGUAAAUACACUGUAUUUACUGCAUUA
Long non-coding RNA from Lingula anatina, 528 nucleotides. RefSeq lists it as uncharacterized. Lineage: Eukaryota; Metazoa; Brachiopoda; Lingulata; Lingulida; Lingulidae. The record is from RefSeq and is a predicted model, not a curated record.